RNAcentral lists this ribosomal RNA (550 nucleotides) under Turrilatirus turritus. Its description in RNAcentral is "partial 12S ribosomal RNA". The record is from RNAcentral. Lineage: Eukaryota; Metazoa; Mollusca; Gastropoda; Neogastropoda; Fasciolariidae.
CACCAAGAGAUUAAGUUAUGUUUAUAAGGUAAAAAGACAGUUAGGUUAAAAUUAAUUAGCUAAAAUAACUAUUUAUAAAAAGGUAAAAUUUGUAUAUAAAUUACUAAUUCUAUUUUAGCUUUAAUGCUGAGGCUGUGAUAGUUUUGAGGGAAACUGGGAUUAGAUACCCCAUUAUUCUUAACUGUAAAUUUAAUUUAUUUUUACCAGAGUACUAUGAAUAUACUAAAAAUUUAAAACUCAAAGGGCUUGGCGGUGUUUUAGACCUAUUAGGGGAACCUGUCUCAUAAUCGACAGUCCACGUUAUACCUGACCUUAUUUAGUAAUCCAGUUUGUAUACCGUCGUCGUCAGGUAACUUUUAAAAAUUUAGAAGUUAGCAAAUAGAAUCUUUAAAUUUAAACGUCAGAUCAAGGUGCAGCUAAUAAUAAGGAGAGGAUGGGUUACAAUUAAAGAACUUUUAAUUAUGAAAAACUGUAUGAAUAUAUAGUUAGAAGGAGGACUUAAAAGUAAAAUAUAAUAUAUAAACAGCUUGAAUAUGGCUCUGAAACGUGC